UGGGGAAUAUUGGACAAUGGGCGCAAGCCUGAUCCAGCCAUACCGCGUGGGUGAAGAAGGCCUUCGGGUUGUAAAGCCCUUUUGUUGGGAAAGAAAUCCAGCUGGCUAAUACCCGGUUGGGAUGACGGUACCCAAAGAAUAAGCACCAGCUAACUUCGUGCCAGCAGCCGCGGUAAUACGAAGGGUGCAAGCGUUACUCGGAAUUACUGGGCGUAAAGCGUGCGUAGGUGGUCGUUUAAGUCCGUUGUGAAAGCCCUGGGCUCAACCUGGGAACUGCAGUGGAUACUGGGCGACUAGAGUGUGGUAGAGGGUAGCGGAAUUCCUGGUGUAGCAGUGAAAUGCGUAGAGAUCAGGAGGAACAUCCAUGGCGAAGGCAGCUACCUGGACCAACACUGACACUGAGGCACGAAAGCGUGGGGAGCAAACAGG
RNAcentral lists this ribosomal RNA (429 nucleotides) under uncultured bacterium. RNAcentral describes it as "bacterial SSU rRNA". It matches the Rfam family "Bacterial small subunit ribosomal RNA", at positions 355 to 776 of the family's 1533-position model. The record is from RNAcentral.